RNAcentral lists this ribosomal RNA (253 nucleotides) under uncultured bacterium. Its description in RNAcentral is "partial 16S ribosomal RNA". It matches the Rfam family "Bacterial small subunit ribosomal RNA", at positions 524 to 776 of the family's 1533-position model. The record is from RNAcentral.
UACAGAGGGGGCAAGCGUUGUUCGGAAUUACUGGGCGUAAAGGGCGCGUAGGCGGCCUUCUAAGUCAGACGUGAAAUCCCUCGGCUCAACCGGGGAACUGCGUCUGAUACUGGGAGGCUUGAAUCCGGGAGAGGAAUGCGGAAUUCCAGGUGUAGCGGUGAAAUGCGUAGAUAUCUGGAGGAACACCGGUGGCGAAGGCGGCAUUCUGGACCGGCAUUGACACUGAGGCGCGAAAGCCAGGGGAGCAAACGGG